This 253-nucleotide ribosomal RNA is filed under the name uncultured bacterium. RNAcentral describes it as "partial 16S ribosomal RNA". It matches the Rfam family "Bacterial small subunit ribosomal RNA", at positions 524 to 776 of the family's 1533-position model. The record is from RNAcentral.
UACGUAGGGUGCGAGCGUUAAUCGGAAUUACUGGGCGUAAAGCGUGCGCAGGCGGUUCGCUAAGACCGAUGUGAAAUCCCCGGGCUUAACCUGGGAACUGCAUUGGUGACUGGCGGGCUAGAGUAUGGCAGAGGGGGGUAGAAUUCCACGUGUAGCAGUGAAAUGCGUAGAGAUGUGGAGGAAUACCGAUGGCGAAGGCAGCCUCCUGGGCCAAUACUGACGCUCAUGCACGAAAGCGUGGGGAGCAAACAGG